Grammomys surdaster is the source of this 568-nucleotide long non-coding RNA. RefSeq lists it as uncharacterized. NCBI's taxonomy places the organism in Eukaryota, Metazoa, Chordata, Mammalia, Rodentia, Muridae. The transcript has 4 exons. The record is from RefSeq and is a predicted model, not a curated record.
GGGUGGACUUCCUGGUCUCUGUUCCCACUUCCCCAGAGCUGAGGGAAGCUAGAAGCUGGGAUCAGCAGCCUGACUCCUCAGAAGCAGGACUAAGUCUUUGGACCUAGACCACCCACCCAGAGAUGGAACUGUCCACGGUGAGUUGGGCCUUCUUACGUCAACCAUCAAUCAAGAAAAGGCUAGCCUGAUUGGAGGCAGUUUCUCAACUGAGGUUCCCUCUUCCGGAGAUUCUCACUCUUGAAACUAGCCAACAAAUUAAUUAACUGUAGGAGGACGACACAUGCUCCAAGAACACAGCAACCAAGGCUGGCUGGAGCGUGACUACCUUCACAUCUAGAAUGGUGGCCAGCCACAGCAGAUCUCCGUCAAAUGAAUGAAAUGAGUGGUCCCGGACGACCUCUGUGAAAGGGUCGCGACCCUCAGGUUGAGAACUGCAGCUCUAGUCCAAUCCCUACUCUCCGCCUGGAAGAAGACUCAAGUGUUGCCUCUCCUCACUGGGCGCAUCAGCCAGUCUCCUGUGCUGACGUCAGAAAGCAUGCUUCAAAGCACUUUUUAGAACCCAGGCUCC